UCCCUGGUGGUCCAGUGGUUAGGACUCCACACUUUCACUGCUGUGAAAUCCCUGGGUUCAAUCCCUGGUUGGGGAA
Molecule: transfer RNA, 76 nt
Organism: Ovis aries (sheep)
Lineage: Eukaryota; Metazoa; Chordata; Mammalia; Artiodactyla; Bovidae
Rfam family: tRNA
About the family: Transfer RNA (tRNA) molecules are approximately 80 nucleotides in length.
Source: Rfam